AUUCAUUGAGGGCGCCUUAGAUUACGCAUGUGUUUAUGGUGUGUACUGAAUUCUUUGAUUUUUUGCGAUCGAACUCAUACAUAACUCACCCGAUUGUGUUAACGCGACACAAAAUUUUUUGACGAAAUUGUAUUUGUCAUGUAGGAAAAUUUAAAAACCUCUAUACAUAAGAAAAACGCAUCUAACAGAAUACUCCUAUCGCCAAUUUCUACAAUAGAUUUGAGUGAAGAAAUAUCUACAAUUUCAUAUGAAAAUAUCAGUUCUGACAGCUUUGUAGAAUCUGAAAAUGAAUUGGAAACUUUGAUCAAGCGCACCAGAGAUCGUGAAAAACAACUAAUAAUGACAUUUGAGAGCAGUUCACCAUUACGGGGAAGCCCACAUCUCGUGGAAAUUAGUUCCGAAGAAGACAACAUUAAGUGCAGUGAAAGUGCCUCAAUACAUUCAAUUGCUACACUUGUGCUUGACCCACAUUCGAACUUAUACUCUCCUACGAACCCUAAAAUGUGUCCUAUAGAAAAUUAUUCGUCCACACAGAUUAUUGGUAGUCCAAACAAGUGCAACAGAAAACACAGAUAUUCAAAUCCUAUAAACAUGAACCCAGAAGUAUAUACAAGUAACAUGAAAAAUGUUACUUUACACAAGUAUCCUGUUUCAACAAAUACACAGUGUGUAAGCCCAGAGAGAGAUGUCUGCCUGAAAAUAGAGCAUUAUUCUCCAAUUAUAGUUCCUACUAACAUUGAAUGUACUACAGGCAACUCUUUUGAUAUAAACACUCCUAAGUGUGAAGUUUUAUCUCCUACGAUAAAAUCGAAUUUGGAACAAAAAAUUUCCUUUUAUUCAGCAGGUACUGAACCAAAUAUAAAGAAGGAACCUUAUUCCCCUGUUAUAAAUUAUUCAAAUAUGUAUUUAGGACCUUUCUUACAUACUGAUAGCACUUCCCACGUCUUUCAAAACUCCGACCCUUUUGAAGGAAAUGCCAAAUCAAUAUGUUAUAAGUUGCUAGAUGAUAAGACUGAAGACUGAAUCAUAAAUUUGCCUCUAAUGACAAAAGAUAGCUAAGUGUCGAUAACGUACGUCGAGUUGCGGACACCAGCCCGUUACACCAAGUACCAAGUACAACGUACAAGAUGUACUUAAAGUAGCAUUAUUUGAUUCAAUCUUGGCGUUAAUUCCUAGAUCUAAGUAAAGUUUGAGUAGUUAAAUAAAAAGGUAAAGGUUUUUAAGUUUGUUUUUGUGAAUUUAAUUAAACAUUGUGUUAUAAAAAAAAAGUAAACG
Hyposmocoma kahamanoa is the source of this 1275-nucleotide long non-coding RNA. RefSeq lists it as uncharacterized. NCBI's taxonomy places the organism in Eukaryota, Metazoa, Arthropoda, Insecta, Lepidoptera, Cosmopterigidae. The record is from RefSeq and is a predicted model, not a curated record. The transcript is spliced from 3 exons.